This 408-nucleotide ribosomal RNA is filed under the name uncultured bacterium. RNAcentral describes it as "partial 16S ribosomal RNA". It matches the Rfam family "Bacterial small subunit ribosomal RNA", at positions 28 to 526 of the family's 1533-position model. The record is from RNAcentral.
GACGAACGCUGGCGGCGUGCUUAACACAUGCAAGUCGAACUAAGUGGCGAACGGGUGAGUAACGCGUAAUCAACCUGCCCUUCAGCGGGGGACAACAGUUGGAAACGACUGCUAAUACCGCAUACUGAAGGAGGGGAUUGCGUCUGAUUAGCUAGUUGGAGGGGUAACGGCCCACCAGGGCGAUGAUAAGUCGCCGGUCUGAGAGGAGGAACGGCCAAAUUGGGACUGGGACACGGCCCAGACUCCUACGGGAGGAAGCAGUGGGGAAGCUUCCGCAAUGGACGAAGGUCUGACGGAGCAACGCCGCGUGAGUGAUGACGGCCUUCGGGUUGUAAAGCUCUGUUAAUCGGGACGCGGUACCGGAAUAGAAAGCCACGGCUAACUACGUGCCAGCAGCCGCGGUAAUAC